Rattus norvegicus (Norway rat) is the source of this 69-nucleotide non-coding RNA. Lineage: Eukaryota; Metazoa; Chordata; Mammalia; Rodentia; Muridae. The record is from Rfam.
GGGGAUUUAGCUUAGUGGUAGAGCGCUUGCCUAGCAAGCGCAAGGCCCUGGGUUCGGUCCCCAGCUCCU